AUGAUGGACCCUAUGUUGGCGUACUCGAUCGAGCGGAAGCUCGACGAAACCAACUGCCGUAUUCUGCACUGCAUGUGUCAGUGUCUUCGUGAAUGGUAUCCAGAAUGGCAUUUUGCCACUUAUCCCUGGAAUUAUAAGUACAACACUGGUAUGCAUCAGAACUGCAGCAUUUCUGACAGCAAUUUCCAUGUACUCCACUACAUCAAAGAAUUUGAUGGUGUGAUGCUGAGGAAAAUCCCAACUUGGCAAACCUUUCCAUUAGGAUGGAAUUGGUAUACAAGCAUACAAUUAGUAAUAGACUUGCUGCCUUCAGGGUUUGAUUGCAUACAUAAGGAUGCAGAUGGCAUACGAAAUUCUCACCUUAAAAGGAAACGAGGGAGACUUCCCAAACUACAUGUAUGGUGGCAUCCUGGAGUAGAUUUCAGUUUGCAAUGA
This 435-nucleotide ribosomal RNA is filed under the name Triticum aestivum (bread wheat). RNAcentral describes it as "partial small subunit ribosomal RNA". Lineage: Eukaryota; Viridiplantae; Streptophyta; Magnoliopsida; Poales; Poaceae. The record is from RNAcentral.